This is an RNA transcript of Erigeron canadensis, 1754 nucleotides long. It is a transcript of the gene named probable serine/threonine-protein kinase PBL28, with no coding region annotated. The transcript has 4 exons. The record is from RefSeq and is a predicted model, not a curated record. Lineage: Eukaryota; Viridiplantae; Streptophyta; Magnoliopsida; Asterales; Asteraceae.
CUCAUCAACGAACCCCAUUUCAUGUUCAUAAUCUUUACCAAUCUCAUGUCUCUUAUUCAAGAACUAGACCACCUCAAAAUCCCACUUAAAGAUAUCAAGUUAGCCACCAAGGACUUCUCGGACGACAAUUUCAUCGGCCAAGGUGGAUAUGGGAGGGUCUACAGAGGUCAACUCUCCCUUUCUGCCACCAACUCCAACAGGCCAACCACCACGGUUGCUAUAAAACGGUUAGACGUGAAGGGUGGGCAAGGACAGCAAGAGUUCUUAACGGAGCUCACCAUGCUAUCUAGUUACAAACACGACAACCUCGUCUCACUUGUUGGAUUCUGUGACGAAGAUGAUGAGAAAAUCAUUGUUUACGAACAUGAGGUCCGUGGCAGCCUAGAUAAGUAUUUGGCCACCACGGAUAUUACAUGGGUGCAAAGGAUUCUGAUAUGUCUUGGUGCUGCACGUGGUCUAAAUUAUCUUCAUAGCGGCGUGGGAGAGGGACACAGGGUAUUACAUCGUGAUAUAAAGAGCUCCAAUAUCUUGUUAGAUGUGAAUUGGGAGGCUAAAAUUUCUGAUUUCGGGUUGUCUAAAAUAGGUCCAGCGAAUCAACAGUUUACUUUUCUUGUCACAAAUGCGUGUGGUACACUUGGUUAUAUUGAUCCAUUGUAUGCGACGACUGAUAUACUUACAAAAGAAUCUGAUGUAUACUCGUUUGGUGUGGUAUUGUUUGAAGUCUUAUGUGGAAGGCUAGCAAUAGAUACUAAAUACCAUGACGAGCGUCGCUAUUUAUCUAAAUUGGUAAAACUUCAUUAUAAAGAAGGGAGAUUAGAAGAAAUUAUUAUGACCAAUCUACUUACACAAAUGAAGCUAAAUUCGUUACGAACAUUCUAUAGAAUUGCUUAUCAAUGCUUAAAAAAGGAUCGAAAACAACGCCCAACUAUGGGAAUACUCAUUGAAGAGCUACAAAACUCAUUGGAGUUUCAAAUAGGUUGUCAAAAAAUCACCCGAAUCGGGUUAUGGGGAUCAAGCACAGGUGGAACUCCAUGGUCCUUGCAGCUUGAGAAUAAUCAAAAACUUAGGAAGAUAACAAUAGAUCACAAAGAGUGGAUUUAUUCUAUGAUUUUUACAACUCAAGAUUACAGUGGUUUGUUGCAGUCGACUAAACGAUAUGGGGGUAAUAGUGGCUACAGGGGUGGCAAAGUUUCUGAGAUUAACUUCGAUGGGGACGAAGAAAUAACUGAGAUGAUUGGAACAGUUGGAGUAACUACAGGGAAUCAUGCAGGUUUUACAGUAAUCUCGUCACUGUGUUUCGUGACCAAUAAAAAGACGGAUGGGCCUUUUGGUAAACAGACAGGGGCUCGUUUUUCAGUACCAUGGGAUACAGGUUCAUUUGCAGGGUUUUAUGGUCGUGGUGGCCUUUACAUAGAUGGGUUGGGUUGUUAUUUGAGGGGUGUCAUGUGAAAUCCUUUGCUAUCCUAUUCAAAAACAUACUCUAUAUUGGAAAUAUCUGACAAGAUAUGCGAAACGGGUAGCAAUUAAUGAUCCACAAGAGAUUGUCAUCCACAAUGCAUAUACUGCUAACGCCUCCGUAAAUGCUCAUGUGGGUGACUUUGGAUGGAUCCACGGAACAUGUCUUCAGUGGAACUUGGUGUUUUUCAGUGGUUAUGACAACUGCAUCUACUUCGUCCAUUUGGGUUAUCCUGGCUACGAGUCACAGAGAACCCAUAAAACUCUGGUGGAUAGCCAUAAACCACUUCUUCCUCUGG